This 474-nucleotide ribosomal RNA is filed under the name uncultured bacterium. Its description in RNAcentral is "bacterial SSU rRNA". It matches the Rfam family "Bacterial small subunit ribosomal RNA", at positions 39 to 507 of the family's 1533-position model. The record is from RNAcentral.
AGCGGCAGGCUUAACACAUGCAAGUCGAGGGGCAACACGGGUAGCAAUACCUGGUGGCGACCGGCGCAAGGGUGCGUAACGCGUGAGCAACAUGCCCUAUACAGGGGGAUAAUCCAGGGAAACUUGGUCUAAUAUCCCAUAGUAUUUAGAGGAGGCAUCUUCUAUAAAUUAAAGCUUCGGUGGUAUAGGAUUGGCUCGCGUGACAUUAGCUAGAUGGUGAGGUAACGGCUCACCAUGGCAAUGAUGUCUAGGGGUUCUGAGAGGAAGGCCCCCCACACUGGGACUGAGACACGGCCCAGACUCCUACGGGAGGCAGCAGUGAGGAAUAUUGGACAAUGGAUGGAAAUCUGAUCCAGCCAUGCCGCGUGCAGGAAGACAGCCCUAUGGGUUGUAAACUGCUUUUAUAUGGGAGCAAUAAGGUCUACGUGUAGACUGAUGAGAGUACCAUAUGAAUAAGCAUCGGCUAACUCCGUG